Molecule: long non-coding RNA, 452 nt
Filed under: Elaeis guineensis (African oil palm)
Lineage: Eukaryota; Viridiplantae; Streptophyta; Magnoliopsida; Arecales; Arecaceae
Description: long non-coding RNA (EGUI_LNC027392)
Source: RNAcentral
GUCGCUGGCUUGGGGGUAUCCCAUUAAAGUGUAGUGUUGGACAAUGCCAUAGCUUUGAUAAAACUCAAUAAAUUUGAAGCCUGAGAACUAACGUCUGUUGUCAGUAAUCAGCAUCUACGGAAAACUAAAUCGAUAAAUAAUAAACUUCCAGACAAAGUCUAUUACUCUAGCUUUGGUGAUCUUGGUAAGAGAUUCAGCUUCUACCCAAUUCUUUCUCUGAUCCGAUGCUAGUGGAAAGGGGCCUAGAAUUUUGUUCUCCACUGUGCGAAUGGCCAAGGAGCGGCUAUCGGGACUCAUGGAACAGCUGAUCGAUGCUGAAUGUUAAUAUUUCGUUGACACCGAUCGCAUCGCUAGGUGAAAUCAGCCGCAUCAUCUUGUAUCGUAGGCCAGUAGUACUCUUGUCGAAGUAUCUUAUAGGCCAAUGACAUGCCGUCGAGGUGAUUUACACAUCC